GAUGAAGAACGCAGUGAAAUGCGAUAAGUAGUGUGAAUUGCAGAAUUCAGUGAAUCAUCGAAUCUUUGAACGCACAUUGCGCCCGCCAGCACUCUGGCGGGCAUGCCUGUUCGAGCGUCAUUUCAACCAUCAAGCCCCAGGCUUGCGUUGGAGCCCUGCGGCUGCCGCAGCCUCCUAAAAGCAGUGGCGGGCUCGCUAUCACACCGAGUGCAGUAGAUUACUCUUCGCUCAGGGCGUGCAGCGGGUUCCGGCCGUGAAACCCCCUACUUUUAAAGGUUGACCUCGGAUCAGGUAGGAAUACCCGCUGAACUUAAGCAUAUCAAUAAGCGGAGGA
This 334-nucleotide unclassified non-coding RNA is filed under the name soil metagenome. Its description in RNAcentral is "partial contains 5.8S ribosomal RNA, internal transcribed spacer 2, and large subunit ribosomal RNA". The stretch from base 1 to 120 matches the Rfam family "5.8S ribosomal RNA", at positions 35 to 154 of the family's 154-position model. The record is from RNAcentral.